AAAUUCACGGGAUAUUCACAAAGAGAUCAACUAUCUUCAAAGUCCCAAUAAAUUCAUGGGAUAUUUAUAGAUUCAAACCCUUUCUUAUUGAUAAUCAAAUACAUCAAGAAGAUCCACAAAACCUCCUUUCAUGGAGAUCAAAUUCAAAUAUUCCUACGUUCGAGAAAUACGCCACUAAAGGCCCUCGAAUUACGGCGAAAUUCAUAUCCAAAUCUUCAUACAUUCGAGAAAUAUGCUACCGAUGGCCCUCGAAUUACGGAGAAAAUUAAAAGAGAAGAAUUAAGGGAGG
This 289-nucleotide long non-coding RNA is filed under the name Capsicum annuum. RNAcentral describes it as "long non-coding RNA (CANN_LNC019619)". The record is from RNAcentral. Lineage: Eukaryota; Viridiplantae; Streptophyta; Magnoliopsida; Solanales; Solanaceae.